Amaranthus tricolor (Joseph's coat) is the source of this 2578-nucleotide RNA transcript. It is a transcript of the gene named pentatricopeptide repeat-containing protein At3g26540, with no coding region annotated. The transcript is spliced from 3 exons. Lineage: Eukaryota; Viridiplantae; Streptophyta; Magnoliopsida; Caryophyllales; Amaranthaceae. The record is from RefSeq and is a predicted model, not a curated record.
UCAACUUAGCCUUGUCAAAUUUUUCAUUGUUUUUACAAAAUUUAUCGAAAACUAAUCCAUGUAAAAAAUUAAUAAUUGUGUUCAGAACAUAUAUGAAAAAUAAAUAGGUUGAUCAGCAAAUUUGGCAUGGCUGCAAAAUCUGUUAGUUCAGCACUCAACCGUUUCAUUCAAACUACCAUUGUCACUGAAAAUCUCCUUCCCGCCCAUUCAAAAUCCGUUACAACCACUAUUUUCUCUCUUCUUGAAGCUGGUCACCUCAAGAAAGCGGUUUCUACCCUCUUUGCUUCUCCAUUUCCCUUCCCUUUUCCUCUCUAUGGUCGCCUUUUCCAGCUUUGUGCUAAAAAUAACGCCAUUGUUGAAACUCGUAAGGUCGAGUCGCAUUUGGUUACUUACUUUGAUCCUCCACCAACUUUUUUGCUUAAUCGGGCUAUUGAAACUUAUGGUAAAUGUGGGUCUUUGAGGGAUGCACGUGAGCUGUUCGAUGAAAUGCCUAACAGAGAUGGAGGUAGUUGGAAUGCCCUUAUAACUGCAUACUCGCAAAAGGGUUCCAUGGAAACUUUAUCACUAUUUUUGAGGAUGAAUCGAUCUGGGUGGUCCCCUAAUGAGGUAUCUUUUGCUAGUGUUCUUGGGUCUUUUGGAGUUGUUUUGGGAUUGUGUUUUACGAGGGCUAUUCAUGGGUUUAUAUUGAAGCUUGGAUUGGGUUCGAAUGUGAUCUUAGCUAGUGCUUUAGUUGAUGUGUAUGGGAAGUGUGAUGACAUUGUUGAUGCUCAAAGGAUUUUCGAUGAGAUUGAUUGUCCGAAUGAUGUUUCAUGGAAUGUGAUUGCAAGACGAUAUUUGGAGGUGGGUAAUGACAGAGAAGCGAUUACUAUGUUAUUUGGUAGUAUUCAAGCUGGUGUAAAGCCAUUGACGUUUACUUUCUGUACUGCUCUUAUCGCGUGUUCUGCAAGGCGGGGCUUUUUAGAGGGAGUUCAAAUACAUGGUGUUGUGAUUAAGUGUAAAUAUGAAAGUGAUGCUGAAAUUGCUAACUCACUCAUUGAUAUGUACAUGAAAUGCAAUGAUGUUGUGAGUGCUAGGAAGAUAUUCAAUAAGCUUUGUGUUAAAGAUAUAUGUUUGUGGACUUGUAUGGCUUCGGGAUACGCAAAGGCUGGAAGACUUAAAGAAGCUCAGUCACUUUUCGAUGAGAUGCCUGAACGAAACAUCAUCUCUUGGAAUGCGAUGUUGGCCGGUUAUGUACACUUAGGCCAAUGGGAGGAAGCCCUGAAUUUUAUUUUCACGAUGUGUCAUGAAAUCAACCAAAUGAAUGCAAUAACCUAUAACCUAGUUCUAAAGGUUUCUACUGCACUCUCAGACAUAGAGUUUGGUAAACAAGUUCAUGCGUGCAUCUACCGACAUGGAUUCGCAUUUGAUCUAUUUGUUAGCAAUGCACUCAUUGACAUGUAUGGAAAAUGUGGCGGGUUAAGAAAUGCUAAAACUUGUUUUCGUAACAUAACUGGUCGGAGAGACACGAUAUCAUGGAACUCCUUGUUGACAUCUUUGGCCCGGCAUCACUUGAGUGAAGAUGUUAUUUAUAUGUUCAGCGAGAUGCUGAAGGAAACAAGUCCCAAUGAACAUACAUUUGCAAUUCUUCUUUCAACUUGUGCUAACAAAUUAGCACUAAAGCAAGGGAAAGAAGUGCAUUGUUUUAUGAUAAGGAAUUGCUAUGAGAUAGACGAUUUUGCCUUACAUUCUUUGCUUAACAUGUACUCUAAAUGUCGACAUCUUGAGUAGAUGUGUAUAUUGAUACAACUGAUGCACAUUAGGUACUCCAAUGCCUAGACGAACGAAAAUGGAAGGAAUGAGCUCUGUUGGCCCACUCAAAAUCUCUUACCAACUUCCUCAACUACACCAUGCUGUGAUUUGAGUGGUAAUAUGGUGUCAUGGCAAAGCCAUAUUCAACAAACUAUCAGUUAAGACACACAAAUUGGAUAGCGGAUAUGGGUAUGAGGAAGAAGAACAAAGCUCACUAGACGCACAAAGCAUACACAAAUGCAAACUCAAGCAAGAGGCAAGUGUUUAAUGGUGUUGAUGCAAGAACCAAAUCACCCAUUGGUGUGGACGUGGAUGAAGAUGCAAGAGAGGCCACAUUCCAUUAGCAUGAAGCAAGAGAAGUGACAAAUAGGGAUUAAACAGAGGUGCAUCGAGUGUGCAACACAUGCCUUGCUCAAGCAAGAAAGUAACAAAAUCGGGAGAUGGCUCGAUCGAUGUUAGAUACUUGUUUUUCGUGCUUCCUAUGUGCAAUUCUUUUGGGAUUCCUAUGUGUUGUUCCUUUGACCUUUGUAAGUCAUAAAGGGGGUUUUUUUGGGUGAGAAGAUGAACAAGGAAGAGUGUAAGAAAGCUUAGUGUUUGUUGAACCUUGUGAGAGACAUUUUCUUGUAUGAGAGAAACUUCAUUGGAGCUCUCGUAAGCUCUAGAAAGUGAGCAUUUUGUGAGUUUAUCCUUCAUUGUAAUUGUUGAAUUCCAAUUAAGAAUACAAAUUAUUGUAUGUGGGGGAGGGUACCUCAAGGUAUCGUUAAAUCUUGUGUUUUUUCUCUUGUUCUUG